GAUGAACGCUGGCGGCGUGCCUAAUACAUGCAAGUCGAGCGAACAGAUAAGGAGCUUGCUCCUUUGACGUUAGCGGCGGACGGGUGAGUAACACGUGGGUAACCUACCUAUAAGACUGGAAUAACUCCGGGAAACCGGGGCUAAUGCAGGAUAACAUGUUGAACCGCAUGGUUCUACAGUGAAAGGCGGCUUUGCUGUCACUUAUAGAUGGACCCGCGCCGUAUUAGCUAGUUGGUGAGGUAACGGCUCACCAAGGCAACGAUACGUAGCCGACCUGAGAGGGUGAUCGGCCACACUGGAACUGAGACACGGUCCAGACUCCUACGGGAGGCAGCAGUAGGGAAUCUUCCGCAAUGGGCGAAAGCCUGACGGAGCAACGCCGCGUGAGUGAUGAAGGUCUUCGGAUCGUAAAACUCUGUUAUUAGGGAAGAACAAAUGCGUAAGUAACUGUGCGCGUCUUGACGGUACCUGAUCAGAAAGCCACGGCUAACUACGUG
RNAcentral lists this ribosomal RNA (497 nucleotides) under uncultured bacterium. RNAcentral describes it as "partial 16S ribosomal RNA". It matches the Rfam family "Bacterial small subunit ribosomal RNA", at positions 28 to 507 of the family's 1533-position model. The record is from RNAcentral.